CACCGGAGUAGGUAGAUGACAAGGCAGGCGAACAAUCCAAUACUUAAGGCGAGUUUGUGGUCGAGAGGAAAAAGGUGAUUCAGUAUCCAGGAAGUACGAUUGAAGCAAACUAUCUGAAGCAAGAGGUGAAGUCAUGGUCAAAAGGAGUAAGACCGGGUUGAUGGUAUUGCACAUGAUGCUGGACCUCUUCUCCUGGCCAUGGUGGGGCAGAGCUGGGAAGAUGCUGUGCUUCCCAGGCUGGAUGGCAAUCUUCAGGAUCAUACAAUGUCGGAAGAUAUUUCUUGCACAAGGAAGUGGGUGAUUUCUAGAUGACUGUUUUAUGGGAUUGUUUUAUACUGUAUACAAAUUCACAAUGCUGUUGCAGCUUAUCUCAAAUGGCUGAUUUAGCAAACUUGAAGUAAUGAAAUGUAAACAAUUUCUAAAUGAUCAAUGGUAAAAUGAUUAAAUUCUGCUUUCAUGAUGAUGGUAAUAGAGUCAAUUGUUUUAAAAAUAAGAGAAAGAUGUAAUGAAAGUUUAUUUUCUAGCUCUACAGGAGCAAUGUCUG
Long non-coding RNA from Lepisosteus oculatus (spotted gar), 544 nucleotides. RefSeq lists it as uncharacterized. The record is from RefSeq and is a predicted model, not a curated record. NCBI's taxonomy places the organism in Eukaryota, Metazoa, Chordata, Actinopteri, Semionotiformes, Lepisosteidae.